UACGUAGGGGGCAAGCGUUGUCCGGAUUUAUUGGGCGUAAAGAGCGUGUAGGCGGUUUGGUAGGUCCGUUGUGAAAACUCGAGGCUCAACCUCGAGACGCCGAUGGAAACCAUCAGACUAGAGUCCGGAAGAGGAGAGUGGAAUUCCUGGUGUAGCGGUGAAAUGCACAGAUAUCAGGAAGAACACCCGUGGCUAAGGCGGCUCUCUAGUACGGUACUGACGCUGAGACGCGAAAGCGUGGGGAGCGAACAGG
RNAcentral lists this ribosomal RNA (253 nucleotides) under uncultured bacterium. RNAcentral's name for it is "partial 16S ribosomal RNA". It matches the Rfam family "Bacterial small subunit ribosomal RNA", at positions 524 to 776 of the family's 1533-position model. The record is from RNAcentral.